This 295-nucleotide non-coding RNA is filed under the name Prototheca stagnorum. The record is from RNAcentral. Lineage: Eukaryota; Viridiplantae; Chlorophyta; Trebouxiophyceae; Chlorellales; Chlorellaceae.
CCGCGCCGGACCCGCGCGCGCCCCGACGCUGCGGCAACGCCGCCGUGUUAACCCUAAUUAGAAGACUAGGCGGGCCAAACGCGAUCCGCCAACCCCACCUCCUCCGUGGACUCUGCACAGGGGUCUCGCCACGUGAAUCCUGAGACCCCGAAGCGCGUAGACUGGGUUCCGGCGGCAACGGAGCCCCUCCCCCCGAGGGGUGCGGGGCGCGGCCGCGCCACGGCGUGACCGCCAGCGACUCGUUCGCGCCCCCGCACGGUUCCGGGGGGGAGAGAGCGGAGAGGGCUGCGUUUUG